CACGUAGGCGGAUGUGUCAGUCAGGGGUGAAAUCCCGGAGCUCAACUUCGGAACUGCCUUUGAUACAGCACGUCUUGAGUCCGAUAGAGGUGGGUGGAAUUCCUAGUGUAGAGGUGAAAUUCGUAGAUAUUAGGAAGAACACCGGUGGCGAAGGCGGCCCACUGGAUCGGUACUGACGCUGAGGUGCGAAAGCGUGGGAGCAAACA
RNAcentral lists this ribosomal RNA (206 nucleotides) under uncultured bacterium. RNAcentral's name for it is "partial 16S ribosomal RNA". It matches the Rfam family "Bacterial small subunit ribosomal RNA", at positions 568 to 774 of the family's 1533-position model. The record is from RNAcentral.